AUACGUAGGGGGCUAGCGUUAUCCGGAAUUACUGGGCGUAAAGGGCGCGUAGGCGGCGCUUCAAGUCGUCUGUCAAAUGGGAGGGCUUAACCCUUUUUCGCAGACGAAACUGGAGAGCUUGAGAAGCAGAGAGGCAAACAGAAUUCCUGGUGUAGCGGUGAAAUGCGUAGAUAUCAGGAAGAAUACCAGUGGCGAAGGCGGUUUGCUGGCUGCAUACUGACGCUGAAGCGCGAAAGCCAGGGGAGCAAACGGGAUUAGAUACCCCGGUAGUCCUGGCAGUAAACGAUGUAUGCUGGGUGUGAGACUAGCGAUAGUUUCGUGCCGAAGUUAACGCGAUAAGCAUACCGCCUGGGGAGUACGGUCGCAAGAUUGAAACUCAAAGGAAUUGGCGGGG
Molecule: ribosomal RNA, 394 nt
Filed under: uncultured bacterium
Lineage: Bacteria
Description: partial 16S ribosomal RNA
Rfam family: Bacterial small subunit ribosomal RNA
Source: RNAcentral